Molecule: non-coding RNA, 964 nt
Organism: Drosophila melanogaster (fruit fly)
Lineage: Eukaryota; Metazoa; Arthropoda; Insecta; Diptera; Drosophilidae
Source: Ensembl
UGAUCGAUUUUUGUAUGAUCGAUUUUAAUUGCAGUGCAAAAGCGCUGCCACAUCGAAGUGGAAGGAGCUGGGUUCCUUCGGAUAUUUGCAAGAAAUGGCAGUUAAGUCCGUCCAGGUGGUGCCUGGCAUCUGUGUCUGGUCCUUGCCAGCGGUCUCCUUUUGCCUUUUUCCCUUUCUCUCACUGGUUUUCUUUUUUUGUUUUUUACUUUCUUCUUCGUUUUGUUUUUCCUCCUUUUUUCUUUUUGUUGUUUUUAGCUCCUUCACUUAUUUUGCUUACAUGAGUGGAAGCGACAGGAAUGCUCAGCGCUGUCCUCAGUUCGAGUCCUGGCUAAAAAAGGAGCAGGGCCGUGGAGGACAUGGCUGGGCGGUGGUCUGGUGCUCUGCUGGUUGGGUGGGUGGUGGUUGCGGUUAGCAAGGACCCAACUAGGACAAAAGAGCAAUACUAUUCACACACACACAUAUACAUGGGGGGCAUACAUAUGUAGCAGGCGCGGCACAUAAGGAUUGCCAUCACAUAUACAUACUACUCCUUUCCUCGCUCCCUCUCUCUAUCGCGUUAAUGCUCGCUCUCCCUCUUCACUCGGUCGCUGUCUCUAUCCCAUAUGUAUUCGACUGUCCCCACGACAGUAUCCCCUGAAGUCGCCCCAGCUUCCCUUUCAGUCCCCAUUUCAGCCCGCAUCUGCCCACCCGUCGAGAUCCUCGCACAAAAAUGAAACACCGCAAAGCGUGUUGCCUGACAUGUGAUUGACGACGACGUUUAUAGUGGAUACACACACACACACACACACACACACUCGCGCAAAUCUACGCUAGGGUGGACCUUCAAUCAAAUGUUGGACAUCACAGUCUUUGAAAAUUCUUUGAGGUGGAGUCUUACAAGUUAACUAAUCCACAAUUUGUUUCAAAUCAGAUAAAUGUCAGUAUUUUUACACGCUUUAUAUAUUCUAUUAUUACCAACUUGAUU